CAGCCGCCGCGGGAAUACGAAGGGGGCUAGCGUUGCUCGGAAUGACUGGGCGUAAAGGGCGCGUAGGCGGCGAUCAAAGUCAGGCGUGAAAUUCCUGGGCUCAACCUGGGGGCUGCGCUUGAUACUUGGUUGCUUGAGUGGGGAAGAGGGUCGUGGAAUUCCCAGUGUAGAGGUGAAAUUCGUAGAUAUUGGGAAGAACACCGGUGGCGAAGGCGGCGACCUGGUCCUUGACUGACGCUGAGGCGCGAAAGCGUGGGGAGCAAACAGGAUUAGAUACCCCUGUAGUCCCUGUCUCUUAUAC
Molecule: ribosomal RNA, 301 nt
Filed under: uncultured bacterium
Lineage: Bacteria
Description: partial 16S ribosomal RNA
Rfam family: Bacterial small subunit ribosomal RNA
Source: RNAcentral